This 759-nucleotide ribosomal RNA is filed under the name Acinetobacter radioresistens WC-A-157. Its description in RNAcentral is "bacterial SSU rRNA". It matches the Rfam family "Bacterial small subunit ribosomal RNA", at positions 31 to 787 of the family's 1533-position model. Lineage: Bacteria; Pseudomonadati; Pseudomonadota; Gammaproteobacteria; Moraxellales; Moraxellaceae. The record is from RNAcentral.
GAACGCUGGCGGCAGGCUUAACACAUGCAAGUCGAGCGGAUGAAAGUAGCUUGCUACCGGAUUCAGCGGCGGACGGGUGAGUAAUGCUUAGGAAUCUGCCUAUUAGUGGGGGACAACGUUCCGAAAGGAGCGCUAAUACCGCAUACGUCCUACGGGAGAAAGCAGGGGACCUUCGGGCCUUGCGCUAAUAGAUGAGCCUAAGUCGGAUUAGCUAGUUGGUAGGGUAAAGGCCUACCAAGGCGACGAUCUGUAGCGGGUCUGAGAGGAUGAUCCGCCACACUGGGACUGAGACACGGCCCAGACUCCUACGGGAGGCAGCAGUGGGGAAUAUUGGACAAUGGGGGGAACCCUGAUCCAGCCAUGCCGCGUGUGUGAAGAAGGCCUUUUGGUUGUAAAGCACUUUAAGCGAGGAGGAGGCUACCUAGAUUAAUACUUUAGGAUAGUGGACGUUACUCGCAGAAUAAGCACCGGCUAACUCUGUGCCAGCAGCCGCGGUAAUACAGAGGGUGCGAGCGUUAAUCGGAUUUACUGGGCGUAAAGCGUGCGUAGGCGGCCAAUUAAGUCAAAUGUGAAAUCCCCGAGCUUAACUUGGGAAUUGCAUUCGAUACUGGCUGGCUAGAGUAUGGGAGAGGAUGGUAGAAUUCCAGGUGUAGCGGUGAAAUGCGUAGAGAUCUGGAGGAAUACCGAUGGCGAAAGCAGCCAUCUGGCCUAAUACUGACGCUGAGUACGAAAGCAUGGGGAGCAACAGAUUAGAUACCC